UACGGGGGGGGCAAGCGUUGUUCGGAAUUACUGGGCGUAAAGGGCUCGUAGGUGGCCAACUAAGUCAGACGUGAAAUCCCCGGGCUUAACCUGGGAACUGCGCUUGUAACUGGCAAGCUAGAGUGUGGCAGAGGGGGGUGGAAUUCCACGUGUAGCAGUGAAAUGCGUAGAGAUGUGGAGGAACACCGAUGGCGAAGGCAGCCCCCUGGGCUAACACUGACGCUCAUGCACGAAAGCGUGGGGAGCAAACAGG
This 253-nucleotide ribosomal RNA is filed under the name uncultured bacterium. RNAcentral describes it as "partial 16S ribosomal RNA". It matches the Rfam family "Bacterial small subunit ribosomal RNA", at positions 524 to 776 of the family's 1533-position model. The record is from RNAcentral.